This is a long non-coding RNA of Amblyraja radiata (thorny skate), 261 nucleotides long. RefSeq lists it as uncharacterized. The transcript has 3 exons. The record is from RefSeq and is a predicted model, not a curated record. Lineage: Eukaryota; Metazoa; Chordata; Chondrichthyes; Rajiformes; Rajidae.
ACAAGCUAUGCCAUUUUACACCAAAAAUAACCCUGGGUGCAUUUUCAAUACUUUCUCGAUUUCCAGUGUGAGUCUGAUUUGCUAUAAUGGAUCUAUCUAUUUGGGAUUUCUAAAACUUUUUUAUUGCUUUUGCUUUUAAGCAAAUAAUGGCACGAGUGUGGUUGGUUUAUCUGAUUGGUAUUGGUAUUGGUUUGUUAUUAUUAAGCACUUAAGGUGAACUGCAUAUUGACAUCAAGACAGCAAUUGAAUGAUUUCAGCAUC